RNAcentral lists this transfer RNA (74 nucleotides) under Matoatoa brevipes. Its description in RNAcentral is "tRNA-Trp". It matches the Rfam family "tRNA". Rfam says of the family: Transfer RNA (tRNA) molecules are approximately 80 nucleotides in length. The record is from RNAcentral. Lineage: Eukaryota; Metazoa; Chordata; Lepidosauria; Squamata; Gekkonidae.
AGAAAUUUAGGUUAAUAAUUUAAACCAAGGGCCUUCAAAGCCCUAAAUACGAGUCACCACCCUCAUAAUUUCUG